Molecule: microRNA precursor, 86 nt
Filed under: Paramuricea clavata
Lineage: Eukaryota; Metazoa; Cnidaria; Anthozoa; Malacalcyonacea; Plexauridae
Source: RNAcentral
CAGUAAAGAAUUCCGCAACAGUCUGUUUCAUCAGUAAAGUACCGCCUGAUGAUUCUUUACUGAUGAAACAGACUGUUGCGGAAUUU